UUSUCAGUCAGUCAGUCAGUUAACACGUACGGUUGCAUCUGUUACCAUGUCAGGACAACGAGAGUUACACAGAC
This 74-nucleotide unclassified non-coding RNA is filed under the name Limnodrilus hoffmeisteri complex sp. I. RNAcentral describes it as "partial internal transcribed sapcer 1". Lineage: Eukaryota; Metazoa; Annelida; Clitellata; Tubificida; Naididae. The record is from RNAcentral.